UGCGUAGGUGGGCAGGUAAGUCAGUGGUGAAAUCUCUGGGCUUAACCCAGAAACUGCCGUUGAUACUAUCUGUCUUGAAUAUAGUGGAGGUGAGCGGAAUAUGUCAUGUAGCGGUGAAAUGCUUAGAUAUGACAUAGAACACCCAUUGCGAAGGCAGCUCGCUACACUAUUAUUGACACUGAGGCACGAAAGCGUGGGGAUCAAACAGGAUUAGAUACCCUGGUAGUCCACGCCCUAAACGAUGGAUACUCGACAUCAGCGAUACACUGUUGGUGUCUGAGCGAAAGCAUUAAGUAUCCCACCUGGGAAGUACGACCGCAAGGUUGAAACUCAAAGGAAUUGA
Molecule: ribosomal RNA, 343 nt
Filed under: uncultured bacterium
Lineage: Bacteria
Description: bacterial SSU rRNA
Rfam family: Bacterial small subunit ribosomal RNA
Source: RNAcentral